Molecule: transfer RNA, 226 nt
Filed under: Marmota monax (woodchuck)
Lineage: Eukaryota; Metazoa; Chordata; Mammalia; Rodentia; Sciuridae
Description: tRNA.Ala
Source: RNAcentral
GGUGUUGUGGCUCAGAGGUAGAGUGCUUGCCUAGCAUAUGUGAGGCACAAUCCUGUGCACCACAUAAAAAUAAAAUAAAGGUAUUGUGUCCACCUAAAACUAAAAAAUAAAUGUUAAAAAACAAAAAAACUAAAAACGCCCCAAAAACCAAUGGGCAUGGGCUGGGACUGUAGCUCAGUGCAUUUGUCUAACAUGCGUGAGGCACUGGUUUCAAUCCUCAGCACCA